This 406-nucleotide ribosomal RNA is filed under the name uncultured bacterium. RNAcentral's name for it is "partial 16S ribosomal RNA". It matches the Rfam family "Bacterial small subunit ribosomal RNA", at positions 28 to 526 of the family's 1533-position model. The record is from RNAcentral.
GACGAACGCUGGCGGCGUGCUUAACACAUGCAAGUCGAACGAGUGGCGAACGGGUGAGUAAUACGUGAGUAACCUGCCCUCUUUUUGGGAUAAGCCUUGGAAACGGGGUCUAAUACCGGAUAAAGGGGGAUGGGCUCGCGGCCUAUCAGCGUGUUGGUGGGGUGAUGGCCUACCAAGGCGGUAACGGGUAGCCGGGCUGAGAGGGUGACAGGCAACAUUGAGACUGUGAUACGGCCCAGGGUACGAAGGGGGGGAGAAGUUGGGGAUAUUGGACAAAGGGCGAAAGCCUGAUGCAGCGACGACGCGUGGGGGAUUAAGGCUUUAGGGUAGUAAAACUCUUGCGGUAGCGAAGGGUUAGGUGGAGAAGAAGCGCCGGCUAACUACGUGCCAGCCGCCGCGGUAAUAC